Prionailurus viverrinus (fishing cat) is the source of this 444-nucleotide long non-coding RNA. RefSeq lists it as uncharacterized. The record is from RefSeq and is a predicted model, not a curated record. Lineage: Eukaryota; Metazoa; Chordata; Mammalia; Carnivora; Felidae. The transcript has 3 exons.
AAUACGUUGUCGCUGAGAGCGCGUCACUUCCGGCGGGCCAAGCUGGUCCUGCAGGGGGGUGCUAGGGUCUCUUCCUGGGCGGGUAAAUGAAUAUGAGUAAAUAUUUGUGGAGCGUCUAGCGUUUGAAAGGUGCAGCGCUGCACAACGAGGACACAGAGAUGAAGUGUGUCUGGAACCCACGACUAGUUGGAAGAGAUGCACGGCAGGAUUGGGGGGAGGCGGUGGAAAACACUGGGAAGACUUCCUUGAGAAGGUACCUAGCACUGUGUGCUGAAUGCUUUACAAUCAUUGCUUCCUUCACCCAGUAUCCUGAGAGGUGCAGAAAGUAACGGUUAAGGAAUGAUCAGUGACCAUUUCUUCCUCCACAAAGAAGGCAUGCCUGAGCUUAUCCUGAUGGAACACGACAGGGCUAUUGGCUACGUGACAUUACCUUGCUGAGCUUGG